Mugil cephalus (flathead mullet) is the source of this 1131-nucleotide long non-coding RNA. RefSeq lists it as uncharacterized. The transcript is spliced from 2 exons. The record is from RefSeq and is a predicted model, not a curated record. Lineage: Eukaryota; Metazoa; Chordata; Actinopteri; Mugiliformes; Mugilidae.
CCAGACGGAUAAUACUACAUUUUUUAAUCUCGUACGUAAUGUUUUGCGCUACUUCUGAUGCAGUGCUCCGAGCUGCCCUUGGCUUCUUCAGCACUGCUUCAGUGAUCUCCAACCUCAGCAAAUUCCCUCAAAGACUGAGCUCUCUUCUCCGAGAUCCCUGGACCCUAUCUGCCUCAGCUUUGGAUCCUCAGUCAGCUCUCCCUGCCUGCUCUCUGCUUACUCCCCUCUUCAGGGAAUAACCAGUUAUUGCCCUCAUACCAACUGCGUCCGAAGGUUCUUCAUGUCAAAAUGAGUUUUUCCUUACCAUCAUUGCCUUAGGGCUUGCUCUGUGGGUUUCAAGCUGGGACUUCUGUAAAGCAUCUGGAGACGAUUGGGGAUGAACAGUUAAAAAGUCAACAAUUUGCAUGAGAUGUAUUUAUUUUCCAGGACUACGCAAAAAUGGGAGAUGUGUGAAAAAACAUUUAAUUGGUGUGCUUUAUAACUAGGGGUAAUACUGUGAUGAGAAUUUAGGGGUACUCAGUGUGGUAUACAGUUCCUUGCAAUUAAUACACCAAAUCAAUUAAUACAACAAAAACAAACAUUUUUAAUAACAUGCUAUUUGAACAGGACUGUCAGCAUUCUGCUCUAUCCCUUUCCCUUCAUUCGUCUUGCUGGUCUGCAAUCUUCCUCCAAACUCAGGUGAACAGUCCCUUAGUUAUAUUGAUAAAGGCCUUGCAGCUAGGGGACUUCCCAAUUGCACUGAGCUCCAAUCUCGAAUCUAUUGUUACAGCAUUUGAAUUAUGUAAUGUGUGCAGUUGUUUGGAGGCUCACCUCCAAACAACUGCCCUGAUCUUCCCCUUGUAUUUUAACAAAUAGCAUUUAUGGUUAACCAGGAAAGUGUUUUAAUUAAUGUUCAAUGAUAUGAGCCUGUGACAUUGUCUGUGCUUCUGGACACGCAUAACAUCUGUGAAAUGCUUGUAAAAUUACUUGUUUCAUUUUCUUGUUUUGGCUGCUCUUGUACAAUCUCUGUCAUCUCUCCGUUCUCCUCAUUGCAGUCACACACAACAUAUUAAAUUCAACCGUAAAAUAUCUAUAAUAACUAAUUUGAUGAUGAAUAAGGAAAAUAAACAGAGUUAUUUUGAUGCACGUUAA